GUCAUCAGAGAGGAUCCACCCAGCAACUGACUGAAACAAAUGCAGAGACCCACAGCCAAACAUUACACAGAGCUCCCGGAAUCCAGUGGAAGAAGGAGAAGGAGGAUUGUAGGAACCAGAGGCAUCAAGGAUACCACAAGAAAACCCACAGAAUCAACUAACCUAGGCUCAUAAGCAUGCUCCCAGCUAGCUGCUCCAGAACCUUCCAGCUGUCUUACCUAACCAUAGGUGUCCUGGGAUUGCAGUUGUGCACCCCUUUAUCCAGCUGUUUUCUUUCUUAACAUGGGUUCCAGGGGCCAAACGCCAGUCAUCAGGUUUGCAUGACAACUGCUUUUACCUACCAGUCCAUUGUCAUGGGCCUCUAAGUUUUUAUUUCAACAACGAAUCAUUUUUCCCUUGGGCACAGCUGUCACCAAGAAAAACACUUAGAACAGAUGCCAAGACUUUGAAAUGGAGAAACCAGUUCCCUGGGUGAAUGUAACAGAUGAGGCAUGAAGAAGCGAUGGGCUCAACAGAGACAUGAGAGACAAAGACACAAAGCCAAGGGCUUGAGAAGAGCUGACAUUGACAAAGUCUUAGGUCCAAAAGAGCAGUAACCAGGGAUCUGGUGGACUAUCCUAUUUCCUCUGGGAUGAAUCUCCUUCUGCAUAAACAGUCCUUCUGACUGUCAGCCAUUUGCCUAAAAGGGCGUUAUGAAAGUUCCAGGUGAUUACUUCUGGAGUACGAACCUCCCUCUAUGUUGUCUCUUAUCUACCUAGCAAACAUUACAUCAAGUGCCUCUAGAAUGUGCCAUACAACCCUUCCUUCCUCU
This is a long non-coding RNA of Mastomys coucha (southern multimammate mouse), 811 nucleotides long. RefSeq lists it as uncharacterized. The transcript has 2 exons. The record is from RefSeq and is a predicted model, not a curated record. Lineage: Eukaryota; Metazoa; Chordata; Mammalia; Rodentia; Muridae.